Molecule: non-coding RNA, 418 nt
Organism: Ciona intestinalis (vase tunicate)
Lineage: Eukaryota; Metazoa; Chordata; Ascidiacea; Phlebobranchia; Cionidae
Source: RefSeq, a predicted model, not a curated record
GGAAUUAGUAAACAAAGUUCUGAUCAAAGGUUUUAUGUUCAGAAGAGGCAGAGAGUUCUGGUUGUAUGAAAUCAUAUCUUUAUUAAGAAGAUGAAUAAGUCAGCGCUCCUUUUCUUGCUUGUCAUCGGACUUCUUGUAAACACCAAAACUACGAUUGCUAAGCAUUAUUUCAAUCAAAAAAAGAUAAAAAGUGUUGAAGACUUAUUGAAAGAAUUGAGCGCCGAUAGUUGGCGUGCAGAAACUUCUGAACGCUUGAAGAAUAACUGGAAACCAUAACACAGCAAAACACUUGCUAUCAAUAAUAUACCAAUACAUACACAUGUCUUUGUGAUUUUAAACUUUUCAAAUAUUUCGCAAGUGUAAAGCAUUCAACAAUGUAGACGGCAAUGCAGUUAGUAAAACCAUCUCAGGAAAUGAA